RNAcentral lists this ribosomal RNA (325 nucleotides) under uncultured eukaryote. RNAcentral's name for it is "partial 18S ribosomal RNA". It matches the Rfam family "Eukaryotic small subunit ribosomal RNA", at positions 1470 to 1796 of the family's 1831-position model. The record is from RNAcentral.
CCCUUAGAUGUCCUGGGCCGCACGCGCGCUACACUGACUGGUGCAACAAGUGUCGCUCCUUGGCCGAUAGGCCUGGGCAAUCUUUGAACGCCAGUCGUGAUGGGGAUAGAUUCUUGCAAUUUUUGAUCUUCAACGAGGAAUUCCUAGUAAACGCGAGUCAUCAACUCGCAUUGAUUACGUCCCUGCCCUUUGUACACACCGCCCGUCGCACCUACCGAUUGAAUGGUCCGGUGAACCCUCCGGAUCGGCCCGCGCCAACGCAAGUUGAGCAAAGGCCGAGAAGUUGGGUAAACCUUACCAUUUAGAGGAAGGUGAAGUCGUAACA